AAUUAGUUUGGCAGAUUUAAUUGCAUAGGGUUUAGAACCUUAAUAUGAUAUUAUUAUCAAUUAAUUA
This 67-nucleotide transfer RNA is filed under the name Mexistrophia reticulata. RNAcentral describes it as "tRNA-Leu". The record is from RNAcentral. Lineage: Eukaryota; Metazoa; Mollusca; Gastropoda; Stylommatophora; Cerionidae.